AUGCCGGGGCCCUCCUGGAUGAGGAUGUCUUCCAGGGAAAGGAGCUGGUCAACAGUCACUCACUGCAGGCUCUGGUGGCGGGGCUGAAGGCCUACAGCACCUGGGAGAACAUCCGCUGCCUGCAGGACUGCUGCGAGUGCACUGGAGGCAUGGGUUACAUGAUGGAAAAUCGAAUCUCAGGCUUAAAGUGUGACACAGAUACAUUUGCCACUUUUGAAGGUGACACUGUCGUUAUGCUUCAGAUACAGUCCAAGCAGUACACACAGAUCAUCAGGAUAACAGCCACAUAACCAGAGAUUGCCGUGGGGAUUCUGGCCUUUGUCUUGCACUGCUAAGCCCAUCAGCACCAGAGAACACCUUCUUGAUCACCAGGAACCAAUGAGGAAAGAACAGAUGUUGUGGGGCGGGAACUGCUGGCCCAAUACACCAAACAGUAUGAAGAAAAACCACUCUUUGGUCUGCUCCAAAACUGGGCUGAAUCUGUGGGGGACAAGCUGAGAACAAUUUUCCUGGCAUUUAACAUGGACACAGUUGAUGAUCUUGCCUUUCUGUUGAAAGCAGUGAAAUUUCGUGAAAGGAUUCUUCAGUGGGGUUUGGUGACCAGAAUUUAUUAUAAGGUAAAGAUACACUUUUCCUUUUGACAUGUGUUUAAGGGAUAUCCUUGCUGGUGAACUAUCUGUUAAGUUUAGUAGAGGAUGAGUCAGCUUAAUGACAAGCUUCUGGAAGCAGCUAGAGUUCCUACAGGCCAUUUUGCAUGACACCAUUGCUUGCUCUAGAGGCCAGGAUGCUUCUGUUUAACCCCCUUUAUGUCAUCUUGUAGAAUUCCACCUGCAAGCACCAUGUGGCUGCCAUGGGAGUUUAUGAGUGGUAUAAUUUUCAGCCCUUAUCGAAAUUGAA
Chlorocebus sabaeus (green monkey) is the source of this 897-nucleotide non-coding RNA. The record is from RefSeq and is a predicted model, not a curated record. NCBI's taxonomy places the organism in Eukaryota, Metazoa, Chordata, Mammalia, Primates, Cercopithecidae.